GACGAACGCUGGCGGCGUGCUUAACACAUGCAAGUCGAACGGGCCCGCCCCUGUUUUUGGGGGUGGGUUGAGUGGCGAACGGGUGAGUAUCACGUGAGUAACCUGCCCCCUGCUCCUGGAUAACUCCUUGAAAGGGCGGCUAAUACGGGGUGUGCCGGCUGGUCCGCAUGGGCCUGUUCGGGAUAGUUUCAUCUUCGGGUGUGUCGGUGGGGUAUGGGCUCGCGGCCUGUCAGCUUGUUGGUGGGGUGUUGGCCCACCAAGGCGGUGUCGGGUAGCCGGACUGAGAGGGUGGCGGCCGGCACUGGGGCUGGGACACGGUGCAGACGCCUGAGGGCGGCAGCAGUGGGGGGUAUUGCAGGUGGGGCGGAAGCCGGAUGCAGCGACGUCGCGGGAGGGAUGGAGGCCUUCGGGUUGGGAGCCUCUUUCUCGGGUGGUGCAGUUCCUGUCCGUUGCGGCGGGGUUGACGGUAGCCGGGUAUGAAGCGCCGGCUAACUACGUG
Molecule: ribosomal RNA, 499 nt
Filed under: uncultured bacterium
Lineage: Bacteria
Description: partial 16S ribosomal RNA
Rfam family: Bacterial small subunit ribosomal RNA
Source: RNAcentral